GAGUUUGAUCCUGGCUCAGGACGAACGCUGGCGGCGUGCCUAAUACAUGCAAGUGGAGCGACGAACCAGGCUUCGGCCUGGGGCAAAGCCGCGAACGGGUGAGUAACACGUGGGUAACCUGCCCCGAUGAUUGGGACAACCCGAGGAAACUCGGGCUAAUACCAAAUGUGCCCGCCGGCCUCAAGGCUGGUGGGGAAAGGAAGCUUCGGCCUCCGCAUCGGGAUGGGCCCGCGGCCCAUUAGUUUGUUGGUGAGGUAACGGCUCACCAAGGCGACGAUGGGUAGCUGGUCUGAGAGGACGAUCAGCCACACUGGGACUGAGACACGGCCCAGACUCCUACGGGAGGCAGCAGUAGGGAAUCUUGCGCAAUGCGCGGAAGCGUGACGCAGCAACGCCGCG
RNAcentral lists this ribosomal RNA (399 nucleotides) under uncultured actinomycete. Its description in RNAcentral is "bacterial SSU rRNA". It matches the Rfam family "Bacterial small subunit ribosomal RNA", at positions 9 to 401 of the family's 1533-position model. Lineage: Bacteria; Bacillati; Actinomycetota; Actinomycetes; Actinomycetales. The record is from RNAcentral.